This 2950-nucleotide long non-coding RNA is filed under the name Equus asinus (donkey). RNAcentral's name for it is "lncRNA (ENSEASG00005028490.1)". Lineage: Eukaryota; Metazoa; Chordata; Mammalia; Perissodactyla; Equidae. The record is from RNAcentral.
CGGAGGGCGCGGGGUGAGUCGGCGGCGGCGGGUCAGCGAGAAGGAGGGGGCGGUCGGGGCGGGGCCGCGGGACUCGGCGCGCGGUGGAGCUGCCGGCCAAGUGGGCGUCAGCAGUCUGUAAACACGAAGCGGGGGACGUUGAGGAAGCGCUCGUGGGGAAAACGCGCGAAGGGCGGGCGGGAAACGGCCGGUGCACGAGGGUGGCAGGAAUGGAGGCCAGGGAAAGAGAGCGGGGCGUGGAGUCCGGCCCGCUCCUUCCUCGGCCCACUGGCAACUGGGAGCCGCUGCCGGGCGUCUGUCAGUCGUUCACAGGCCGAAUGUCCCGCGGGAGACGGGGAAAAGUGCCACGCGCUCCGUCAGGGGGACAAAAGGUAGCUCUGGAGACCCUGAGUCCAUGAUCGGGUCCAUGUGGAGCUGCCCUUCGCCGGGGCCGCCAGGGCGGACUGCUGGACCAGCUGUGCACAUUCGGGGCUGAGGCGGCCCCUGGGGACCCGGGAGCGGCCGCUCGCCCGUCACGCGGCUCCAGAGCGGCAGCAUGGCGGCUCAGCCGUCCGCGAGGCCUGCUGUGUGCAAGCCCCGUGGGGGCCCCAGUGUCGUUGCCAGAGUCAUCCCCGUGUGCAGCGUUUGCAGUGUGGUAGUACGCAAUCCGGAAGUCAGAAGCGUUAAAGGUUUUUCAUAGCGAUCCUGUGACAGAAGGAGUUUGCUGGACUAGGAAUCUAGGAGACCUGGCUUCUGCUGUUGUCACUUCACCCUUCUCGACCUCGGCUGUCAACGGAGCUUAUUGACUGAACUCAAAGGCUCCUUCUUCUACCUCUAGAAUUCAAAGACUGUGAGAAAAAUAACUGAUAGGACUUCAGAAACUGCUCAUUCAGUAACCACUUGUUGAUUGUGCCUUUUAUGGUGCCGGGAUGAAAUUUGAAUAAUACCAGACAAAAAAGAAAGCCAGGAUAUGAUUCUAGAGCCACUCUCUGGAAUUGACUGUUUUCAGUUCUUCACCUGGUACUGGAAGAUGCCAUUGUGUCUGGCUUCCUUAUCACAAGCUGAAUUCCCAGUUCUGUAAAGGCUGUGAAAACCCACUGGGAUAUUAACAAGACUUUAAUAGCUGCAGUUUACCACCUUAUAAAAUUAAAUUAAAUGUAACGAGGGGGCUAAAGUUUCAAGAUAUUCUCCUUGGAGAAAGUAAAGAAACUUAAAAUGAACCUGAGACCAUACUGUAUCUAUUGUUGCACUUGCUACCAACCUUUCUUUGGUAUGGAUGGUCUUUUCUGUCUCCCUCGGUUUCUAACAUAUUUUCCAUGCGCUUGCUUGUUCAGCAUGCAGAGUAUUGCUGCUGCAUGCUUGUGAAACUAUUUUCCAUUGAAUCCCUUUCUAGAACCAAAACAAGGACAGAGUGCAGAAAGGAAACCUGUGCCCUGAUGGAAUGUGCUGAUAACCCUAUCUUCCCUACUCCCCAAACCUGAUUUGGGCACCCUUGGUUUCAGCAAGAGAGAGCUAAACAGUUUGUAUGUACUUGCUGAUCUGCCUGUAACUCCACUUCCUAUUCACAACCUAAUCUCAGAUGAUACCACAAUGCCCACAGUAUGCCGAUCUCUUCCAACAGCAGAUGGAAUCAGAUAAAAAGAGCUCUCGCCCAAGUGUGUUGUUUUAAAACCUGAUGGAGAGCUAGGAAAUCAUAUGCAACAUUGACUGUAGUUAGUUUUUAAAUAACACUGGUAGCAUAUGUCUGGCGCCUGUGCUCAGGAUCUCAACAGAUCAUUUUCAGGAUAUUGACAUUUAACUGAGUUCUUAUGAAGUAGCAUAGAGUUCCAAAAUCUAGAAUUUAAAUGUAAGUUCCACAAAGGCAGAGAUUUGAGUUUGAUUUAUAUAAAUAUAUAUCCCAAGUGCUUAAAAGCACUUGGCAUGUGGUAGGUGCACAAUAAAUUUCUACUGAAUGUAUUUUUGAGUAAUAAUGUGUAUGCAAAUUGCUGAAUAAACUUGUCCUGCUUUUUUCCUAAUUCCUUAAUAGGUAACCCACUUUUCAUUGUGCAUUUCUAAGUGAAAAGGCAUAAAUUUACAUCUGGUAUCACUGCUAUGGCUAGGCUAUAGAGAAACAGGAAUUUGGCAAUAUCUAUCAAAAUUACAAAUGCAUUCCUACACUGAACCUGCAAUUUCAUUUCUAGGGAUUUAUCCCAGGAUGUAUUUCCACAUGUGAGAAAGGAUAAGAUAUUUCUUAUUGUAUUGCCGAGAAUAGCAAAUGAUGGGGAAUAACCUAAAUAUCCACCAACACGACACUAGUUAAAUUAUGAUAUCCAUACGUUUGAACACUGUCUAGCUGUUAAAAAAAAGACAAAGUUCUUUACAUUUUAAUAUUAAGAUCUCUGAGAUUUUUUUGUUGAAGAAAGCAGGAAAAUGAUGCAGAAUAAUGUAUUGGCUUGUAUAUGCAUUAAACUAGGAUAGACUGUUGAGGUAUGAGAUAUCAGUGGGUGGAGGACAUAGGAAAGACCUUUCACUGUAUUCGUAUCUGAACUUUCUGAUAUUUAAACCAUGAGAAUGAUUUCCCUACUCAAAAAGUUAAAAUUUUUACUAUAAAAUUUUUCUGGUAUCUUUAUUUUGUUAUUAAAACAUUCAGGUUCUAUCUAUUUUAUCAAAAUUUACCUGAUUAAAAUAUCAGGUACACUAGUACACAUACAAGGUAAACUUUUUUGAAAUUCAGAGUUGUUUUCAUUAAGUUCAAGUUGAACACUGUCUACUCCUUACUGUAAUAAUUUCAGAUCCAGGUACUACAUGUAGUUGGAGGCUUAGUAUACAUCGUAUCAAAUAUAUGUAAAUUUUCAAAAGUGUUUUUCUUGAAGUAGAGCUUUACUUGAGCAAGUUUUAACGACUUGGAUCCUCUGUUUUAAGCAUAAAAUUAGAAUUUUUUUGGACUAUUUGUUCAUCUCCUAAUAAGGUCAAGAAAAAUAUAUUUGAGAAC